AGGAAGGAAGGAAGGAAGGAAGAAAGACAUCUGGAAGUUGGAAGUAAUAGAAAACGGACUUGUCCGCAUACCCGUCCGUAUUCGUUAGAAGGAAACGGAUUGAAUUGGAUUGUUCCGACGAUUCUUCAAAAAGCCAGCGUCUCUUUAUAAGGGGAGUAUAAAAAUUCUAUUCCCUCUUGUUUUAUCUUGGAGGGCUGCGAGAGAAGAAGGAAACGGGAUCUCCUUUUCUUCAUGAAUAUAGGAAAGAAGAAAGGGAGAUCGACAUGAAGGAAGUAGCAGCAAAAGUAAUAAGGAGUAAGGUGGAGUCGUAAGAAGAGAAGGAAAACAAAACAGGAAUGGGUCGGGGGAAGCUCGCUAGAGACGGUAUACGAAAAUGGUCCGCCUGGUGCAAGCUGUUGCGGAGGAAAGUUUUUCGCGCGAAAACUGGAAAGAACUUUCGUCUACCACUUUAAAUCGAAACAGCAGUCGAAGAAGAAGUUACACGAACACGGGUACAUGGAGAAAUGCUUGGAAGAAAAUCUACGAAAAGUGCGAGAGAUUGAGAGAUCCCCUUUUGCUGGCAGCAACUUCGUUCGAGCUUGAAGCUUAGUUUAACUCGUUAAUUUCGCGGCUACGCAUACAAAUCGACGUUACACUCGAGGAGUACUUUCGCGUUCGU
Molecule: long non-coding RNA, 658 nt
Organism: Vespula pensylvanica (western yellowjacket)
Lineage: Eukaryota; Metazoa; Arthropoda; Insecta; Hymenoptera; Vespidae
Exons: 3
Source: RefSeq, a predicted model, not a curated record